This 779-nucleotide ribosomal RNA is filed under the name Lactococcus sp. C08_59. Its description in RNAcentral is "bacterial SSU rRNA". It matches the Rfam family "Bacterial small subunit ribosomal RNA", at positions 119 to 885 of the family's 1533-position model. Lineage: Bacteria; Bacillati; Bacillota; Bacilli; Lactobacillales; Streptococcaceae. The record is from RNAcentral.
GGGGAAUCUGCCUUUGAGCGGGGGACAACAUUUGGAAACGAAUGCUAAUACCGCAUAAAAACUUUAAACACAAGUUUUAAGUUUGAAAGAUGCAAUUGCAUCACUCAAAGAUGAUCCCGCGUUGUAUUAGCUAGUUGGUGAGGUAAAGGCUCACCAAGGCGAUGAUACAUAGCCGACCUGAGAGGGUGAUCGGCCACAUUGGGACUGAGACACGGCCCAAACUCCUACGGGAGGCAGCAGUAGGGAAUCUUCGGCAAUGGACGAAAGUCUGACCGAGCAACGCCGCGUGAGUGAAGAAGGUUUUCGGAUCGUAAAACUCUGUUGGUAGAGAAGAACGUUGGUGAGAGUGGAAAGCUCAUCAAGUGACGGUAACUACCCAGAAAGGGACGGCUAACUACGUGCCAGCAGCCGCGGUAAUACGUAGGUCCCGAGCGUUGUCCGGAUUUAUUGGGCGUAAAGCGAGCGCAGGUGGUUUAUUAAGUCUGGUGUAAAAGGCAGUGGCUCAACCAUUGUAUGCAUUGGAAACUGGUAGACUUGAGUGCAGGAGAGGAGAGUGGAAUUCCAUGUGUAGCGGUGAAAUGCGUAGAUAUAUGGAGGAACACCGGUGGCGAAAGCGGCUCUCUGGCCUGUAACUGACACUGAGGCUCGAAAGCGUGGGGAGCAAACAGGAUUAGAUACCCUGGUAGUCCACGCCGUAAACGAUGAGUGCUAGAUGUAGGGAGCUAUUAGUUCUCUGUAUCGCAGCUAACGCAAUAAGCACUCCGCCUGGGGGAGUACGA